GUAGGUGGCAAGCGUUGUCCGGAAUUAUUGGGCGUAAAGCGCGCGCAGGCGGUUCUUUAAGUCUGAUGUGAAAGCCCACGGCUCAACCGUGGAGGGUCAUUGGAAACUGGAGAACUUGAGUACAGAAGAGGAAAGCGGAAUUCCACGUGUAGCGGUGAAAUACGUAGAGAUGUGGAGGAACACCUGUGGCGAAGGCGGCUUUCUGGUCUGUAACUGACGCUGAGGCGCGAAAGCGUGGGGAGCAAACAGGGAUUAGAUACCCUGGUAGUCCACGCCGUAAACGAUGAGUGCUAAGUGUUAGGGGGUUUCCGCCCCCUUAGUGCUGCAGCUAACGCAUUAAGCACUCCGCCUGGGGAGUACGGCCGCAAGGCUG
This 373-nucleotide ribosomal RNA is filed under the name uncultured organism. RNAcentral describes it as "partial 16S ribosomal RNA". It matches the Rfam family "Bacterial small subunit ribosomal RNA", at positions 527 to 896 of the family's 1533-position model. The record is from RNAcentral.